ACGCCGCAUGAGCCGAGCCAAGAGACUCGACCAAAACGGGAACGGACGUCGUCCGCAYGAAGCGUAGAACGCUUURUUUUCGGGGCAAAUAGAGGUCGAGGACCUCGUACCGCRUCGGUCUUCCGCAUCCRAGAGAUCGAGCAUAACGACAUGGGCCAACRACCGACGAGCGCCCRAGAGCGCACGGAUCGUGGAACACGGCGAAUGCUUCGRCGUCCACCCMACACCGCAGCCACAAGGGGCGCAGCACAAGGAGGAAAGGGACAUUCGGACCACAACAUGCCUUCUCGAUAGGUAUACAACACAGGAAACCGUCRUCGGUCAAGGCAAUCCGCAACUUGAGCCAACAAUUGAAGAGGCGUGCACGAGAUGCCGUCGCUGCCCGAGCAG
Molecule: unclassified non-coding RNA, 390 nt
Filed under: Aloysia scorodonioides
Lineage: Eukaryota; Viridiplantae; Streptophyta; Magnoliopsida; Lamiales; Verbenaceae
Description: partial external transcribed spacer
Source: RNAcentral